GACGAACGCUGGCGGCGUGCUUAACACAUGCAAGUCGAACGGAAAGGCCCUGCUUUUGUGGGGUGCUCGAGUGGCGAACGGGUGAGUAACACGUGAGUAACCUGCCCUUGACUUUGGGAUAACUUCAGGAAACUGGGGCUAAUACCGGAUAGGAGCUCCUGCUGCAUGGUGGGGGUUGGAAAGUUUCGGCGGUUGGGGAUGGACUCUCGGCUUAUCAGCUUGUUGGUGGGGUAGUGGCUUACCAAGGCUUUGACGGGUAGCCGGCCUGAGAGGGUGACCGGCCACAUUGGGCCUGAGAUACGGCCCAGACUCCUACGGGAGGCAGCAGUGGGGAAUAUUGCACAAUGGGCGGAAGCCUGAUGCAGCAACGCCGCGUGCGGGAUGACGGCCUUCGGGUUGUAAACCGCUUUCGCCUGUGACGAAGCGUGAGUGACGGUAAUGGGUAAAGAAGCACCGGCUAACUACGUG
This 468-nucleotide ribosomal RNA is filed under the name uncultured bacterium. RNAcentral's name for it is "partial 16S ribosomal RNA". It matches the Rfam family "Bacterial small subunit ribosomal RNA", at positions 28 to 507 of the family's 1533-position model. The record is from RNAcentral.